GGCGCCCAGCCGGUGGAGCAUGUGGUUUAAUUCGAAGCAACGCGCAGAACCUUACCAGCUUUUGACAUGUCCGGUUUGAUCGGCAGAGAUGCCUUUCUUCAGUUCGGCUGGCCGGAACACAGGUGCUGCAUGGCUGUCGUCAGCUCGUGUCGUGAGAUGUUGGGUUAAGUCCCGCAACGAGCGCAACCCUCGCCCCUAGUUGCCAUCAUUCAGUUGGGAACUCUAGGGGGACUGCCGGUGAUAAGCCGCGAGGAAGGUGGGGAUGACGUCAAGUCCUCAUGGCCCUUACAGGCUGGGCUACACACGUGCUACAAUGGCGGUGACAAUGGGCAGCGAAAGGGCGACCUCGAGCUAAUCCCAAAAAGCCGUCUCAGUUCAGAUUGUACUCUGCAACUCGAGUACAUGAAGGUGGAAUCGCUAGUAAUCGUGGAUCAGCAUGCCACGGUGAAUACGUUCCCGGGCCUUGUACACACCGCCCGUAA
This 482-nucleotide ribosomal RNA is filed under the name bacterium BJSM5. RNAcentral describes it as "bacterial SSU rRNA". It matches the Rfam family "Bacterial small subunit ribosomal RNA", at positions 918 to 1399 of the family's 1533-position model. The record is from RNAcentral.